UACGUAGGGUGCGAGCGUUGUCCGGAAUUAUUGGGCGUAAAGAGCUUGUAGGCGGUCUGUCGCGUCUGCUGUGAAAAUCCGGGGCUCAACCCCGGACUUGCAGUGGGUACGGGCAGACUAGAGUGUGGUAGGGGAGACUGGAAUUCCUGGUGUAGCGGUGAAAUGCGCAGAUAUCGGGAGGAACACCGGUGGCGAAGGCGGUUCUCUGGGCCUGACCUGACGCUGAGGAGCGAAAGCGUGGGGAGCGAACAGG
This 253-nucleotide ribosomal RNA is filed under the name uncultured bacterium. RNAcentral's name for it is "partial 16S ribosomal RNA". It matches the Rfam family "Bacterial small subunit ribosomal RNA", at positions 524 to 776 of the family's 1533-position model. The record is from RNAcentral.